UAAUACAGAGGGUGCAAGCGUUAAUCGGAUUUACUGGGCGUAAAGCGUGCGUAGGCGGUUCAGUAUGUCGGUCGUGAAAUCCCCGGGCUCAACCUGGGAACUGCGGCCGAAACUGCUGGGCUUGAGUGUGGUAGAGGGCGGUGGAAUUCCGGGUGUAGCGGUGAAAUGCGUAGAGAUCCGGAGGAACAUCAAUGGCGAAGGCAGCCGCCUGGGCCACAACUGACGCUGAGGUACGAAAGCGUGGGGAGCAAACAGGAUUAGAUACCCUGGUAGUCCACGCUGUAAACGAUGAGAACUAGACGUUGGCCAGCUUGGUCUGGUCGGUGUCGUAGCUAACGCGAUAAGUUCUCCGCCUGGGGAGUACGGCCGCAAGGUU
Molecule: ribosomal RNA, 376 nt
Filed under: uncultured bacterium
Lineage: Bacteria
Description: bacterial SSU rRNA
Rfam family: Bacterial small subunit ribosomal RNA
Source: RNAcentral